Lemur catta (Ring-tailed lemur) is the source of this 516-nucleotide long non-coding RNA. RefSeq lists it as uncharacterized. NCBI's taxonomy places the organism in Eukaryota, Metazoa, Chordata, Mammalia, Primates, Lemuridae. The record is from RefSeq and is a predicted model, not a curated record. The transcript has 2 exons.
GCCUGACAGCUGCGGGGCCCGGGCGGGGCCCACCGCGGCCGGCGCUCGGCAGGCCCUUCGCUUCCAGGCUCGCCCUCUUGCGCCCGCGCGGCACACCCCGGGCCCAGCUGGCGGCGGAUUCGGUUAGCACCGACUGCGUGCCAGGCCCCGUCGUCGGAGCCGCGGUUGGCGUUCUCACUAUGGGCUAGACUCUGCUCCGCGUGCUCCAUAUGCCUUAGCUCAUUGAAGUUCCACGGCCUCUCCGGUAUCGUCCCCGUUUGACAUAGGAGGAGACUGAGGCGCAGGGAAGUGAGGGAGCUGUAGGAAGGCAGAUCAAAGUCCUCCAGCAGCCUAAGGGGGAAGCUCAGCUCCACCCUCAGAAGCUCUGCGGCCUUGGGCAUGUCCCUUAACCUGCCUGGUGCCUCACUGACCUCACGUACAAAAUUGGCCUAAUUGUAUGAUUGUCAUGAGCAUUAAAUGAUAUAAUGUUUGUAAAAUAUUUGGCAUAAUGUGGCAACAUGUUAAUUACUGAAUCUA